Molecule: ribosomal RNA, 254 nt
Filed under: uncultured bacterium
Lineage: Bacteria
Description: partial 16S ribosomal RNA
Rfam family: Bacterial small subunit ribosomal RNA
Source: RNAcentral
UACGUAGGGGGCAAGCGUUGUCCGGAAUCAUUGGGCGUAAAGAGCGUGUAGGCGGCCAGAAAAGUCCGCUGUGAAAACUCGAGGCUCAACUUCGAGCUGUCGGUGGAAACUUUCUGGCUAGAGUCCGGAAGAGGAGAAUGGAAGUUCCUGGUGUAGCGGUGAAAUGCGCAGAUAUCAGGAAGAACACCAAUGGCGAAAGCAGCUCUCUGGGACGGUACUGACGCUGAGACGCGAAAGCGUGGGGAGCGAACAGG